UAGAAUUAUAGAAUCAUAGAAUCAUAGAGUUGGAAGAGACCACAAGGGCCAUCGAGCCCAACCCCCUACCAAGCAGGAAACACCAUCAGAGCACUCCUGACAUAUGGUUGUCAGGCCUCUGCUUAAAGACCUCCAAAGAAGGAGACUCCACCACACUCCUUGGCAGCAAAUUCCACUGUCGAACAGCUCUUACUGUCAGGAAGUUCUUCCUAAUGUUUAGGUGGAAUCUUCUUUCUUGUAGUUUGGAUCCAUUGCUCGGUGUCCGCUUCUCUGGAGCAGCAGAAAACAACCUUUCUCCCUCCUCUAUGUGACAUCCUUUUAUAUAUUUGAACAUGGCUAUCAUAUCACCCCUUAACCUCCUCUUCUCCAGGCUAAACAUGCCCAGCUCCCUUAGCCGUUCCUCAUAAGGCAUCGUUUCCAGGCCUUUGACCAUUUUGGUUGCCCUCCUCUGGACACGUUCCAGUUUGUCAGUGUCCUUCUUGAACUGUGGUGCCCAGAACUGGACACAGUACUCCAGGUGAGGUCUGACCAGAGCAGAAUACAGUGGCACUAUUACUUCCCUUGAUCUAGAUGCUAUACUCCUAUUGAUGCAGCCCAGAAUUGCAUUGGCUUUUUAGCUGCCGCGUCACACUGUUGGCUCAUGUCAAGUUUGUGGUCAACCAAGACUCCUAGAUCCUUUUCACAUGUACUGCUCUCAAGCCAGGUGUCACCCAUCUUGUAUUUGUGCCUCUCAUUUUUUUGCCCAAGUGCAAUACUUUACAUUUCUCCCUGUUAAAAUUCAUCUUGUUUGUUUUGGCCCAGUUCUCUAAUCUGUCAAGGUCGUUUUGAAGUGUGAUCCUGUCCUCUGGGGUGUUAGCCACCCCUCCCAGUUUGGUGUCAUCUGCAAAUUUGAUCAGGAUGCCCUUGAGUCCAUCAUCCAAGUCGUUGAUAAAGAUGUUGAAUAAGACCGGGCCCAAGACAGAACCCUGUGGCACCCCACUAGUCACUCUUCUCCAGGAUGAAGAGGAACCAUUGAUGAGCACCCUUUGGGUUCGGUCAGUCAGCCAGUUACAAAUCCACUGAGUGGUAGCAUAGUCAAGACCGCAUUUUACCAGCUUCUUUACAAGAAUAUCAUGGGGCACCUUGUCAAAUGCCUUGCUGAAAUCAAGGUAGGCUACAUCCACUGCGUUCCCUUCAUCUACCAGGCUUGUAAUUCUGUCAAAAAACGAGAUCAGGUUAGUCUGACAUGACUUUUUUUCAGAAAUCCAUGCUGACUAUUGGUGAUCACAGCAUUCCUUUCUAGGUGCUCACAGACUGUUUGCUUAAUGAUCUGCUCCAGAAUCUUCCCUGGUAUUGAUGUCAGACUGACUGGGUGGUAAUUAUUUGGGUCCUCUCUUUUCCCCUUUUUGAAAAUAGGGACAACAUUUGCCCUCCUCCAGUCUGCCGGGACUUCGCCUGUUCUCCAGGAAUUCUCAAAGAUGACUGCCAGUGGUUCUGAGAUCACAUCUGCCAGUUCUUUUAAUACUCUUGGAUGCAGUUCAUCUGGCCCUGGAGACUUGAAUACAUCUAAACUAGCCAAGUAUUCUUGUACUAUCUCCUUAGUUAUUCUGGGCUGUGUUUCCUUUGCUGAAUCAUUUGCUCCAAAUUCUUCAGGUCGGGCAUUGUUUUCUUUAUCGGAGAAGACUGAGGCAAAGAAGGCAUUGAGGAGUUCAGCCCUUUCUGUGUCCCCUGUUUGCAUUUCACCAUCUUCUCCUCUGAGUGACCCCACUGUUUCUUUGUUCUUCCUUUUGCUAUGAACAUACCCAUAAAAGCCUGUUUUGUUGCUUUUAACCUCUCUAGCAAGCCUGAGUUCAUUCUGUGCUUUAGCUUUUCUGACUUUGUGUCUACACGUGCUGGCUAUUUGUUUGAAUUCCUCUUUGGUGGUUUCCCCCUUUUCCAUUUUUGUACACAUCCUUUUUAAUCUUAACUCAGUUAAAAGUUCUUUAGAUAGCCACCCUGGCUUCUUUAGGCACCUUCCAUGUUUCCGUCUCAUUGGUAUUGCCUGACGUUGUGCUUUUACUAUCUCCCU
Molecule: long non-coding RNA, 2047 nt
Filed under: Podarcis lilfordi (Lilford's wall lizard)
Lineage: Eukaryota; Metazoa; Chordata; Lepidosauria; Squamata; Lacertidae
Source: RNAcentral